AAGUGAAGGACGAAGAACAUACUGAACGGUGUAGCCCUAGAUACACUUCGCCUGGAAAAAAAAAAGACAGGGUCUGAAGGCUGGAAAUUCUUUUACCAUAGCCCUGCUCAGGUUGACCUGAGCUAAACAAUAACAUUUUAAAACACACACACACACACCGUUUUUACUAAUAUAUGUCGCACUGUAUUAUACUCGAGUGUAAUUGAAAAAAUUAAGGUGCGACUUAUACACAGGGCAAAACUAUGAAGGGAAAGAUUUUGUACAAAGAUUUAGCACUUUGAUUAGGAGUACGACUUAUAUCCGAGUAAGUACAGUACGUACUUAUAUCAACCCAUGAGGGAACAACCUCUGCAGGGUCUCCCUCAGAUCACACCGUGAUACCAUAAAAGAAACAAAACAAAUAGGAAGGUCACACCUGGAAUGUUUAUGAUCAGAACUAACAUGGGUCUAAACAACAACUUUACCCAACUGUUCUGAAGCCAUUUAAUACGCAAGAAGGGUAGAGAACCAACAAGCAAGUUGAGUAUAGACUUUAUAUAUAAAGUUGGUGGAUUUGGGUCAAGCAAGUGCUAAACUGGAGUUACCACUUGUGGGUUUGUUUGUUUUCUUAAUGCCAAGUUGUGAAGUUUACAUAGAUUGGACGAGAUCAAUGGUGGCGUUAAUCUUUGAGAUUCAUACCUUUUAAAUGUCCCGUUUAAAUUGUUGCAAGUUGACACUUGCAGGAACGAAGUGAGCAAUGAGGUGAUUUCAGAGGGAUGUGAAGUGGGGGGGAGAAAGAACUGGAUGUAGUGGUUAGUGUGAGGAGGAGGAACUGGACACAACAACGGUGAGAAGAAGAGGAGGAGAGGCCAGUGGACCAGGAGUGUAUAAGUGGAGAAGAUUGCAAGACUAGUUGCAGGGAACGAUGGUUAUUGUAGUUGUGGUAGAGAAGGCAAAGGGAAGAGACAGCACACCUGUGAGUACAAGCAGGUAUAUGUCUAUCAGUGAUUUUAUCACAAUCAGUUGUCUUUCUGUGGAAAUGGUCUACAUGGCUGUGUGGUAUGUAGCUUGCUUACCAACCACAUGGUUCCGGGUUCAGUCCCACUGUGUGGCACCUUGGGCAAGUGUCUUCUACUAUAGCUUCGGGCCGACCAAAACCUUGUGAGUGGAUUUGGUAGACAGAAACUGAAAGAAGCCCGUCGUAUAUAUGUAUAUAUAUGUGUGUGUGUGUUUGUCCCCCCACCAUCGCUUGACAACCAAUGGUGGUGUGUUUACGUCUCCGUAACUUAGCCGUUCGGCAAAAAGAGACCAAUAGAAUAAGUACUAGGCUUACAAAGAAUAAGUCCUGGGGUCGAUUUUCUCGACUAAAGGCGGUGCUCCAGCAUGGCCACAGUCAAAUGACUGAAACAAGUAAAAGAGAGAGAGUAAAGAGUGUUUGCAUGUGUACUGCUCCAAAUUUACUUUUAAAAGAAACAAAACCAACUUAGAAGCAUUUGCAGGUCUGAUUGAAGCCUUGUGAGUGGAUUUGGUAGACAGAAACUGAAAAAAUGCCCAUGUGUGUGUUUGCCUUUGUCCCCCACCACCACUUGAUAACCAGUGUUGGUUUGUUGAUGUCCUCAUACCUUAGCAGUUCAAUUUAUAUGGAACCCAAAUAUCGAGCCUCUUAAUGAGUUCAAGACAUUUUAAAUGAUUUUCAAUUGCUGUGUGCGAUACAUUUAACCUCUCUGCAAUCUCUCACACAGUUACAUGACAAUCAGAUUCGAUUAUGGCUUUGAUUUGGUCAUCAUCAACUUCAGGACGUCGACCGGAACAUUGGUCAUCCUUGUGUGAAAAAUCUCCAGAACGAAAUUUUUUAAACCAUUUCUGACAUGUGCGUUCUGUUAAUGAAUCAACACUAUAUAUUUCACAUAUCUCUUUGUGAGCCUCAGCAGCUUUCUUGCCUUUACGGAAAUAAAGAAGCAAAAUAUGGCGAAAAUGUUCAUUUUUGCACUCCAUGUUGAAAUUAACUGAACUAACAGCUGUAAACAAGAUUACGUGCAAUUUGCUUCUGAAGUCAACUAAAGGUAAUGGCGAUCAAAUGUCGAAAGGAAAAAAAAUAACAUUGACAAAAGUCAUUCAGAAAAAUCGUAGCUCUCUUUGCGAAAAAUGAAAUUACUUUCUUUCCAACCCAAUAGUUAUGCAUGACCCUUUUCGACAAACCAGAUUAGUUUUGAGAUCAUAUGGUGUAAGUUAUUUCUCAAACUACAGACAAUGAUUGUGAUCAUGAUCAUUGCUUGGACAGAAUUUGUUGAAGCAGAUUUUCUAUGCUGCAUGCCCUUCCAAUUGCCAAACCUCACCUGUUUCUGUUUCCAAAUAAAGCAAUAUUUUCCCAAGACCAAAACAAUUUCAUAGGAGAUUGGAAACAAAAGACACUGUUUGCAUGGCAGUGACACUUACUUACAACUAUCACACAAUGUCAAGUCAAAGAGACAAUAAUACAUGCGUGUACACACACGUGCAUGUGAUGGGCUUCUUUCAGUUUCUAUUUAUGAAAUCCACUCUCAAGGCUUUAAUAAGACAGGGGUUAUAGUGGAAGACACUUACUCAAUCCAAAACUAUGUGGCUGGAGAGCCUACUUCUUUAACACACAGCCAUAUCUUUGCUCUAUCUUUUUCACAAUAUUUUAACCCAUAUCUCCAAAUGGUGUCCAAUUCCAUGACUUCAUUUUUGUAUAAUCAUUAUUGAUUAUUUAUGCUAAUUAAUUAAAUCUUAACAUAGAAGCCCUUAAAGAACAAAAGUCUUCGAUAUUGAAACUAUUUACGUUUUCAAUUAUGUCUUCCAUAUCGUUUCAUAUUUAAGGCUGUUGACAGAAUAUGAGAUUCAGGAUUAUGUUGCUACAAAACAUCUGUAAAAUGAUGUUAUUACAGCAUAAGAGAGAAGCGAAAAAGAUAGAAGCAACUGCACAAUGGUAGUUCAGUGUUCUCACAUGGCCUCAGACUCAAAAGUGCCUGGAGGAGGUAGUGCUGCCCUGGGUCAAGAGGGUGUCUGCUGGAAGACCCUAUGUCAAGCAACAAGACUUUGCACCAUGCCACACAAGCAGAAGAACCCAGUCGUGGCUGCCAGACAAUUUCUGCAAUCACAUCACCCCUAACAUCUGGCCACCUAACUGCCCAGACUACAACCCUUUUCAUCAUUAUGUGUGGAGCAUAUUUGAGCGAGAGACCAACAAAACUCCUUGUAACACCAAAGACGAACUGAAGGCAAGGACUGUGGCAGCAUUCACCAACUUAAACAAAGAGUUGCAGGAGAUUCCCAAGUCAUCUGGAGGCCGUGGUUGAAGCCAGUGGCGAUUUUAUUGAAUAAAUUUACUCUUUAGUACUUCAAGAUAUCCUUUAUGUAAUUUUGGUAAAUAUAUCUGUUAAAAUGAGA
Long non-coding RNA from Octopus bimaculoides (California two-spot octopus), 3387 nucleotides. RefSeq lists it as uncharacterized. NCBI's taxonomy places the organism in Eukaryota, Metazoa, Mollusca, Cephalopoda, Octopoda, Octopodidae. The record is from RefSeq and is a predicted model, not a curated record.